UCAUGGGGAGACUCCGAAGAAUAGAGCACAUAUCAUCUGGUGACCUGGAACAUAGUCAAUCAACCAACCAGUGAGAAAUGGUAGCUUAGGGACCCUUUGUUUGUAAAGCAGCAAUGUAUAUUUCUCUCUUGUAGGAGCUCCCAGUGAUGGAAGGUCAUAGCAAAAUUGGCAUUGCAUUCAAUGUAAGGUGGGUAUAGGCACCAUCAACUAUAGCCCCUGGAGGUAAAUUGGUAAGAAUUGGAGAUAUGUCCUUGAGGCUUCUCAGUCUGAGGCAUUGAAUGACAAUCACAUUCAGUUUUGGCUUGAUCCUUUGUGUUUAAUUCAUCCUUCAGAGAACUCCUUUUCCUCUAUUUUUGUUGUUGUUAG
RNAcentral lists this long non-coding RNA (366 nucleotides) under Carica papaya (papaya). RNAcentral describes it as "long non-coding RNA (CPAP_LNC007589)". The record is from RNAcentral. Lineage: Eukaryota; Viridiplantae; Streptophyta; Magnoliopsida; Brassicales; Caricaceae.